UCUCUCUCGAUGGUUGCCAGGAGCACU
This 27-nucleotide non-coding RNA is filed under the name Mus musculus (house mouse). The record is from RNAcentral. Lineage: Eukaryota; Metazoa; Chordata; Mammalia; Rodentia; Muridae.